This 434-nucleotide ribosomal RNA is filed under the name uncultured Ruminococcus sp. Its description in RNAcentral is "partial 16S ribosomal RNA". It matches the Rfam family "Bacterial small subunit ribosomal RNA", at positions 341 to 792 of the family's 1533-position model. Lineage: Bacteria; Bacillati; Bacillota; Clostridia; Eubacteriales; Oscillospiraceae. RNAcentral also lists the same sequence under 1 other name. The record is from RNAcentral.
ACGGGAGGCAGCAGUGGGGAAUAUUGGGCAAUGGGCGCAAGCCUGACCCAGCAACGCCGUGUGAAGGAAGAAGGUCUUCGGAUUGUAAACUUUUGUCUUAUGGGACGAUAAUGACGGUACCAUAGGAGGAAGUCACGACUAACUACGUGCCAGCAGUCGCGGUAAUACGUAGGUGACAAGCGUUAUCCGGAAUUAUUGGGUGUAAAGGGUGCGUAGGCGGGCUGUAAAGUCAGAUGUGAAAUCCCGGGGCUCAACCCCGGAACUGCAUUUGAAACUUACGGUCUUGAGUGGAGUAGAGGUAAGCGGAAUUCCCAGUGUAGCGGUGAAAUGCGUAGAUAUUGGGAGGAACACCAGUGGCGAAGGCGGCUUACUGGGCUCUUACUGACGCUGAGGCACGAAAGUGUGGGGAGCAAACAGGAUUAGAUACCCUGGUA